RNAcentral lists this ribosomal RNA (878 nucleotides) under Salmonella enterica. RNAcentral describes it as "partial 23S ribosomal RNA". It matches the Rfam family "Bacterial large subunit ribosomal RNA", at positions 670 to 1548 of the family's 2925-position model. The record is from RNAcentral. Lineage: Bacteria; Pseudomonadati; Pseudomonadota; Gammaproteobacteria; Enterobacterales; Enterobacteriaceae. RNAcentral also lists the same sequence under 1 other name.
AGGGAAACCGAGUCUUAACUGGGCGUUAAGUUGCAGGGUAUAGACCCGAAACCCGGUGAUCUAGCCAUGGGCAGGUUGAAGGUUGGGUAACACUAACUGGAGGACCGAACCGACUAAUGUUGAAAAAUUAGCGGAUGACUUGUGGCUGGGGGUGAAAGGCCAAUCAAACCGGGAGAUAGCUGGUUCUCCCCGAAAGCUAUUUAGGUAGCGCCUCGUGAACUCAUCUUCGGGGGUAGAGCACUGUUUCGGCUAGGGGGUCAUCCCGACUUACCAACCCGAUGCAAACUGCGAAUACCGAAGAAUGUUAUCACGGGAGACACACGGCGGGUGCUAACGUCCGUCGUGAAGAGGGAAACAACCCAGACCGCCAGCUAAGGUCCCAAAGUCACAGUUAAGUGGGAAACGAUGUGGGAAGGCUCAGACAGCCAGGAUGUUGGCUUAGAAGCAGCCAUCAUUUAAAGAAAGCGUAAUAGCUCACUGGUCGAGUCGGCCUGCGCGGAAGAUGUAACGGGGCUAAACUGUGCACCGAAGCUGCGGCAGCGACGCUUAUGCGUUGUUGGGUAGGGGAGCGUUCUGUAAGCCUGCGAAGGUGUCCUGUGAGGGAUGCUGGAGGUAUCAGAAGUGCGAAUGCUGACAUAAGUAACGAUAAUGCGGGUGAAAAGCCCGCUCGCCGGAAGACCAAGGGUUCCUGUCCAACGUUAAUCGGGGCAGGGUGAGUCGACCCCUAAGGCGAGGCCGAAAGGCGUAGUCGAUGGGAAACGGGUUAAUAUUCCCGUACUUGGUGUUACUGCGAAGGGGGGACGGAGAAGGCUAUGUUGGCCGGGCGACGGUUGUCCCGGUUUAAGCGUGUAGGCUGGUUUUCCAGGCAAAUCCGGAAA